This is a long non-coding RNA of Carassius gibelio (silver crucian carp), 1228 nucleotides long. RefSeq lists it as uncharacterized. The transcript is spliced from 3 exons. NCBI's taxonomy places the organism in Eukaryota, Metazoa, Chordata, Actinopteri, Cypriniformes, Cyprinidae. The record is from RefSeq and is a predicted model, not a curated record.
UUCCAUAAAUGAAGAAAGGGUGGAAUGAAAAUAUUGUAAUCUGGAGGGAAAAUGCAGUCUUUGUAUUCUGUUUUGUUCUAAUGCUACUCUCUCUCUCUCCCUUUCACACACACACACACACACACACACACACACACACACACACACACAUAACAGCCUACUCACUGAUAAAAGAUAAUAAUCAUUUGCAAUAUUUAAAUGUGAUUGUAUAUUUACUUAUUUAUUUUGUAGUUAAAAUGAAAACCGAGAUUGUAUGCUACAAUGAUAUUUUUCUGUUUGUUUGUUUCGUUUUGUUUCCUCUGACCAGAACUCUUUCGUGUCAUCAUAUCCCUAUUCUUAUCGCUCCAAGUCCUGGAUAGAACUUUUAACAGGCAUUCCAGUAGGUUCAGUGCCAGUCUCUACAGUGCAACAUAUUCAGAUUUACAAUUUGGAGAAAUGGUUUGUGUUCUGGUAAAUUUAAACAAACACCUGCCUAAAUAAAGGAACCUUUCUGUUGAUAUAAAUAGCCUAAUGCACAUUUCAUAAAAUGCUCUAAUGAAAUAGCUGAAUAAGAGGCUUUAGACACACACUGACUGUUGUAGGCUGAAGUGCACCUUUGUGGGCAAUACAACUGACCCGGUGACAAGGUGUGUGAAGUUUUUCUGAGGAGCAUGUGUCAUCGAUCAGAAGCGAUUAACGCAAGGAACAGUGUCUUAUCAGCUGCCGCGAGCAUCACACAACCCUCGCUCCGCGCGGAAGAGCAGCGGAUCACCGCGCACAUUUACAGGCAAGAAAUGACUAUCAAAUCCCCAAAGCGCUCGGCAAACGAAGGGUGCGAGUAACGCGGGCGAGGGAUCUGAUGUGGACUUGUGAAAGGAGGAUUCAUGCAACAGAUAGACAGAUAUAUGCCCAACUCGACGCCGUACAACAGAUAAACACGCUCGCGUUAAAUAGUCGCUAUUGAAAUCAGCAAGCCGCUGUGGUUCAGAAGUCAAACGGAGGUCAUCCUUUAUAUCCCCCCGCAGCAAUCUGCGACCAGGGGCCAGUCAGCAGUGAACCCUGCCAUCUCCACUCCUGACAACUGCCUCAAAGUUACAAGACUAUCGGGAAUGGUUUGAUUGAUGAGGUGGCUGUUUUGAAGUGAAACAGAAGACCUCACCUGUGGAUCAAUAUGAGGAAAAAGGUAGCCUUCAAGUCAACCACGUACUCAAUCAAGCAAACAUCUCUGGAGUGGGUCAUUAGCUCUCGA